Long non-coding RNA from Xenopus laevis (African clawed frog), 646 nucleotides. RefSeq lists it as uncharacterized. The record is from RefSeq and is a predicted model, not a curated record. The transcript has 2 exons. NCBI's taxonomy places the organism in Eukaryota, Metazoa, Chordata, Amphibia, Anura, Pipidae.
GAUAAACUGCAGGGAAUGAGGGGUGUCUGAGGGGAAAUCCUUGACCAGGAUUGUCCAAAAACGAAUAGGUUUGGGACAGUGCACUUGAAUAAUGCUACUACGGGGAUGAUAAAACCUUGGACGCCAGAAGCUGUGCGGGUGGAUUCUUGACUGCCGACCUCUACAAAACAGCUAGGUGUUAUGAGAUGGUGUGACGAGCAGCUGGAGGUCCUCUCUCUCUCUCUCUCAGUAAGUGAAUAAGGGGUCUGUGUUCUGCGAGGAAGUCUCCUGCUCUCCACACACAGGGUUAUUCCUGACACCGCUUCCCAGAAGCCAACUUACAAGGAGGAAGAGAGGAGUGCUCAGCCAGUGACGUCAUCGGAUCCCCCAGCGCGUCCCUGUGAGAGGAGGGAGCUGGUGCUGCAGGCACAUAGCAACACUGUGUAUGUGAGCAGAAUAAUGCAUCCAGUGUCUGGGCCUCACUGAUAACCUGCUAAUCAUAUUCUCUGCUUGAUAUUGGCCAUUUCAGUCAGCUGUUAUUAGAGACGACCGGGAUUAGACUCUCUCUGUAAACGUUUCUAUUCUGCGACUAUACCUUGAACUAAUUAAAGAAGUUCCUAGGGUUGCAACAUUUUCUGGAAAAAUAUACAUACUGACAGGAAAAAUA